UCUCUCUAGGAACUUCAGGCAGCAGAGAAACCCAUGACCCAUCUCAUCGUGACCCCAUCGUCGUUACCGAAUCAUUGUCAUCUCCUUUAUUUCCGAAUCGCCAUCAUCUCUCUCUCUCUCUCUCUCUAGUGCCGAAACCCUAGCUCAUGCCACGCUUCCUCUACUGAUCAAAGAUCUAUUCUUCAUGACCAUCUUCUUCUACUUUUCACUCCAUUUGGUUAGAUUUGCUAUUUUAUUUUAAUGAUUUUUUUUUCCUGUUACCAGAUUUGUAAGAGGGUCCCAAACCAGCGGAUGUUUGUGGCUAUCGGGUAGAACUAACCACUUUGGGUGCUCUCUAGUGAGGUUCCUAACAGUCUGGGGUUAAUGGCUCUCCUGUUCUAGAACCUACAAUGGCUAUUCUGAGAUAGGAAAUUGAUCAAAAAUUAAAUUCAGUUGUGGAGAAAUGCAUUAAUUGCAUGAAGCAGACAUAUUGUGUAUUGGUGGCUCUAUGUAAUCCACUUUUGAUAUGUAAUUUCAUAUAUUGUAAUUGGCGUUUUGUAAUGUAUAAAUACCAAAUAAUAAAAUAUGUAGUGAUUGCAUUAUGUUU
This is a long non-coding RNA of Carya illinoinensis, 586 nucleotides long. RefSeq lists it as uncharacterized. The transcript has 2 exons. The record is from RefSeq and is a predicted model, not a curated record. Lineage: Eukaryota; Viridiplantae; Streptophyta; Magnoliopsida; Fagales; Juglandaceae.